CGGUCCCUAUCUGUUGCGGGCGUGGGAAGUUUGCGAGGACCUGACCUUAGUACGAGAGGACCGGGUUGGACUAACCUCUGGUGAAUCUGUUGUGGCGCCAGCUGCAUUGCAGAGUAGCUACGUUGGGAUUGGAUAAGCGCUGAAAGCAUCUAAGCGCGAAGCCAACUUCAAGAUGAGUUUUCUUUUAAGGGCCGUGGAAGACUACCACGUUGAUAGGCUAUAGAUGUAAAGGCAGAAAUGUCAAAGUCGAGUAGUACUAAUUACCCG
Molecule: ribosomal RNA, 267 nt
Filed under: Schmidingerella taraikaensis
Lineage: Eukaryota; Ciliophora; Spirotrichea; Tintinnida; Rhabdonellidae
Description: partial Bacterial large subunit ribosomal RNA
Rfam family: Bacterial large subunit ribosomal RNA
Source: RNAcentral